UCACUAUCACUAUCAUCAUCAUCCUUCUUGAUGGUUGCCUUUGAUGAUGUGCUUGCUUCUUUCUCUUUGUUCUUGUGGCUUGCCUUGAGAGCUACCUCAUUGUUCUUCUCAAUUUGCUCAUGAAUCUUGGACAUUUCUUGGGAUAGCUUGGAUUCUUUGACGAUAAUGAGAUGUUCUUCAAUCAUUCCAAUCAUAUCCACCGGUGUGAACUUCUUGAAUCCUCUCUUCUCCUAAUCAAGAUAGGAAGUUGAACAUCUCUAGCCAUGUAGGCCGAGAGGAUCUUCUCAACCACUUCUUU
RNAcentral lists this long non-coding RNA (298 nucleotides) under Setaria viridis. RNAcentral's name for it is "long non-coding RNA (SVIR_LNC005326)". Lineage: Eukaryota; Viridiplantae; Streptophyta; Magnoliopsida; Poales; Poaceae. The record is from RNAcentral.